AUACUUAGCUGGCAGGGGAGAUACCAUGAUUACGAAGGUGGUUUUCCCAGGGCGACGCUUAUGCUUUGCACUCCGUGUGUGGUGACCCCUGCGAUUUCCGCAAAUGUGGGAAACUCGACUGCAUAAUUUGUGGUAGUGGGGGACUGCAUUCGUGCUCUCCCCCU
Small nuclear RNA from Dasypus novemcinctus (nine-banded armadillo), 164 nucleotides. Its record names the gene U1. It matches the Rfam family "U1 spliceosomal RNA". From Rfam's summary of the family: U1 is a small nuclear RNA (snRNA) component of the spliceosome (involved in pre-mRNA splicing). The record is from Ensembl. NCBI's taxonomy places the organism in Eukaryota, Metazoa, Chordata, Mammalia, Cingulata, Dasypodidae.